CUACGGGGUGCUGCAGUCGGGAAACUUUUGCAAUGUACGCAAGUAUGACAGAGCAAGCCGGAGUGCGUUUCUAUAAUUGAAAUGCUUUUGUGAGAGGUAAAUACUCUUUCGAAUAAGGACUGGGUAAGACUGGUGCCAGCCGCCGCGGUAAUACCAGCGGUCCAAGUAGCAGCCACUUUUAUUGGGUCUAAAACAUCCGUAGCUCGUUAAGUAAGUCUUUUGUGAAAUCCGGCCUCUCAAGGGUCGGGCGUGCGGGAGAUACUGCUUGGCUAGAGACCGGGAGACGUAAGGAGUACGCAUCGGGUAGCGGUUAAAUGCGUUGAUCCAAUGUGGACUAACGAUAGCGAAGGCACCUUACGAGAACGGAUCUGACAGUGAGGGAUGAAGGCUAGGGGCGCAAAACGGAUUAGAUACCCGAGUAGUC
This 424-nucleotide ribosomal RNA is filed under the name uncultured archaeon. RNAcentral describes it as "partial 16S ribosomal RNA". It matches the Rfam family "Archaeal small subunit ribosomal RNA", at positions 323 to 746 of the family's 1478-position model. The record is from RNAcentral.